RNAcentral lists this ribosomal RNA (497 nucleotides) under uncultured bacterium. Its description in RNAcentral is "partial 16S ribosomal RNA". It matches the Rfam family "Bacterial small subunit ribosomal RNA", at positions 28 to 507 of the family's 1533-position model. The record is from RNAcentral.
GAUGAACGCUGGCGGCGUGCCUAAUACAUGCAAGUCGAGCGAACGGACGAGAAGCUUGCUUCUCUGAUGUUAGCGGCGGACGGGUGAGUAACACGUGGAUAACCUACCUAUAAGACUGGGAUAACUUCGGGAAACCGGAGCUAAUACCGGAUAAUAUUUUGAACCGCAUGGUUCAAAAGUGAAAGACGGUCUUGCUGUCACUUAUAGAUGGAUCCGCGCUGCAUUAGCUAGUUGGUAAGGUAACGGCUUACCAAGGGAACGAUGCAUAGCCGACCUGGGAGGUCGAUCGGCCACCCUGGAACUUCGACGCGGUCCAGGCUCCUACGGGAGGCAGCGGGAGGGAAUCUUCCGCAAUGGGCGAAAGCCUGACGGAGCGACGCCGCGUGAGUGAUGAAGGUCUUCGGUUCGUAAAACUCUGUUAUUAGGGAAAAACAUAGGUGUAAGUAACUGUGCACAUCUUGACGGUACCUAAUCAGAAAGCCCCGGCUAACUACGUG